CAGUAGCCGCGGUAAUACGUAGGUGGCAAGCGUUGUCCGGAAUUAUUGGGCGUAAAGCGCGCGCAGGCGGAUAGGUCAGUCUGUCUUAAAAGUUCGGGGCUUAACCCCGUGAUGGGAUGGAAACUGCCAAUCUAGAGUAUCGGAGAGGAAAGUGGAAUUCCUAAUGUAGCGGUGAAAUGCGUAGAUAUUAGGAAGAACACCAGUGGCAAAGGCGACUUUCUGGACGAAAACUGACGCUGAGGCGCGAAAGCCAGGGGAGCGAACGGGAUUAGAUACCCGCGUAGUCCCUGUCUCUUAUACA
RNAcentral lists this ribosomal RNA (301 nucleotides) under uncultured bacterium. RNAcentral's name for it is "partial 16S ribosomal RNA". It matches the Rfam family "Bacterial small subunit ribosomal RNA", at positions 509 to 809 of the family's 1533-position model. The record is from RNAcentral.